This 347-nucleotide long non-coding RNA is filed under the name Bos taurus (domestic cattle). RNAcentral describes it as "long non-coding RNA NONBTAT025246". Lineage: Eukaryota; Metazoa; Chordata; Mammalia; Artiodactyla; Bovidae. The record is from RNAcentral.
AAAUUAACUUUUUAAUAUGUGAUACAGAGACCAACUUCAAAAGUUAUUUCAGAUUUUUUUUUCCAGAGGAAGAAAAAUAAACACAAAAAUCCCAAUAUUAAGAAAAUAUAAUAAAUAUGGAAAAAGAGAAUUUUCUUUAAAUAUAGAGAUGCAAGUUGAUAAUACAAUACCAAUAAAUUUAGUUAAACCAAUAAGCAAACUUAUGAAAAGGAAACUUAGCAUAGUUUUAAAACUAUGGGUUUUAAAGGAACUAAACAUGAAGCUCAAAAUAAUGCAUAACAUACAAAAUAGAUGAAAAUUAAAACAUAGAUAUAUCUUGGUACAGUUUUUAAAUUUCAAAAAAAAUG